RNAcentral lists this long non-coding RNA (10936 nucleotides) under Solanum tuberosum (potato). Its description in RNAcentral is "long non-coding RNA (STUB_LNC004384)". The record is from RNAcentral. Lineage: Eukaryota; Viridiplantae; Streptophyta; Magnoliopsida; Solanales; Solanaceae.
CGUGUGCCACCAACUACAACUGAGCACUAGCCAACAGGUAAUAUGCAAGAAAAUACACUUCAGAUCUCCUACUAAAUGCAACUGAUUUGUGCGGGCAGGGGUGUGUGAAAAGCAUACUUUAGGAUUACAGGUAUGCUUCUUAACUGCCAACUUUCAUGUAUGCAACUGAUAUGCUGUACAAAUCAAAAACUCCUUUUAAAGUUCACAUCAUUAUGAAUUUUCUGCUUGCAGACUUGGUGGUUCCCAUAUAUACAAUUUUUCCCCGAAACAUGAAGUUAUGGGGGAGUUGAUCACUGCCCACGAUCUACAAUGAUGGAAGUCCAAUGAAAACAGAAACUCAUGAAAUGUAAGCCUUAACAAGCUCUGUGUAGUUGCAGGUGAGGCCUGUCCUAGGACAUGUGAUUCUGCCAUCAUUCUUCUUCGCCAUUUCUUCCAGUGCCUGCCGUCACAUAGAUACAAGUUAGAUUAUCGCUGAAGGAAGCACAAAUGUGGAAGCAAAUAAAGGCAUACCUUGGUGCUAUAGACAUAGCCAUUGGGUAAUACAAGGGGUGGAUUUUCAGUAUCCAUCAGUUCUUUGGUUAUGUAGCAAACAAGCUUCGAGUGAUGCUGCUUUGAAUAUGGUAGCGGCGAUGCUAAUUUGCGGAAGCUCUCCUGUGACAAUGGAUCCUCCUUUGUGCAAUCAUCUUCGUAACAGAAUCUAUAGAUUCGGUCAAGGAGAAGUCAUGGAGCAGAUAAAUUUAAAAUUUUCCCGGUUCCUCUUUUCCUUUUCCCAAUGAAUAUUAGGAACUUUGGCCAUGGAUGGCAGAGGGAGUUUGAAAAUAUCAGCAGUUAGUAAAUCUGAAAAUCAUUACCAGCUGUCACUUCCGAGUUCCCACAUGUAAAAGCAUAUACAGCUGACCACCCUCAUUAUACCGUCACGUAUGUAAUUGAUCAUUUAUAUUAACUUGAUUCUUAACAGUAAACUACAAAUUUGUAUGGUGAUCAUCUGUACGCAAUAUUUCCCUGGCAAAAAAUCAUGUGUUAAGGAUACGGAGUUUUCAAUGCAGACAGCCCUGCUUGCAGAUAUAUAUUCAGCAAAGGCUCAAGAGUCAUGCCAUAUAACUUGCAGAACUCUUGUUUGAAUUGAUCAAUCAGGUAAUCCCACUGCUUUGAUUCAAAUAAAACCUGUAACAGAAACUGAAAACUGUCAAGUAACCUCCUGUUGGUGCAUAAUUAUCUUGAACUGUUCGUAUUCUACUCAAGUGUGAUUCUUCAUAUAAAGCAGACAACCAUCUCAGUUCUCACAAGAUCAUGAAGAAACAGACCAAUGAGGGAAAGUGAAAGCAAACAGAUAUAAGAAUUUCCAUACAUGAUAUCUGAGAGUUGCAGAGGCAAUGCAUAAAACAUGCAUACAUUAUUACAUAUAGUAGAAUAGUCCAUUUUUCUAGUAACUCAUUGCUCUAAUUUGUUCAUAUGCAACAAACUUAUACUGCAUCAAAUAAUGAGUUACUAGAAAUAUGGACUAUAUGUAAUAAUUCUUGAAAGCGUUGAUGGUGAAAGAGUCGAACCAAAUUGAAGAAACUACUCCCUCCAUUCCAUAUUAAUUGAAUUUUUGAGGUGUUUCACACCCUUCAAGAAAAGUAGAUUAAGACAUAAAUUGAUCAUAGUUUUCCAUGUUUACCCUUAUUAAUUAUUGUCAAAUUUAUUGAAGGCAUCACAAUGAAAAUCCAAAUGAAGGGUAAAAUUGGAAGAACACUCUAAAAGCAGUUUUGAAAACUGAACAAUUAAGUUAAUUUGAAAAUGGAAAAUGCUUCAAAAAUUCAAUUAAUAUGGAAUGGAGGGAGUAAUUAAGAAUUCUAAACUCAUAACAUUCCGACAAAAAAGUGCAAAUAUACAGAAAACUAGCAGAAAGACCUUAACCUUGUAAGUUGUACAUUCAGUAUUACUCUUGAAAGCAAGUGUCGCCAAGACCCGCUGCAACUCUUUCAUGUGGGUAGAGCCCCAAGGUGCAAGAUAUUUCCGAGCAUAUGUAAUGGCCCGCAUCAUGUUUUCAGCUCUUACCAACUCUAUGAACUCUUGCAGUCUCAACUGGAAUUCAAAUUUGCUCUGUCAACAAGAAAAGCAAUCAGCACCUUGUAUUUGCAGCACAAUGAUCCAAAAUGCAGCACUACUAGCAAAAUCCUUAGAGAACACUGUUACCCAAAGAUAUAACUCCCAAAUUGGAGUUGAAAAAAAUCCUCUCCGUCUUCAAAUGCUUGACAUGUUCUGCCUUUUCACCAUUUUGAAAUAAGAAAAAUUGCAACUUAUUUUAUCUUUUUAAUAUCAACAUUUUAAUCAAAAAUAAUUAAUCAAGAGUAUUAGUUUCAAAAAAGGGUCAAACUGAUCAUUGAUAUAGCAAAACAUGUCGUAUGAAUUGGCACAGGGGGGGGGGGGGGUGGAAAGAAAACAGNNNNNNNNNNNNNNNNNNNNNNNNNNNNNNNNNNNNNNNNNNNNNNNNNNNNNNNNNNNNNNNNNNNNNNNNNNNNNNNNNNNNNNNNNNNNNNNNNNNNNNNNNNNNNNNNNNNNNNNNNNNNNNNNNAGUUUGUUUGGAUGGGGGCGGGGGGGGGGGGGGGUAGUUAUACACACAGAUACUUUACUCGGUUUUAGCUCAAUGAUAUGUAAGUUGUGACAACAUUCUGCAGUAGCCAUCCAAUAUCUAUCCACGAACAGAGCCUAACUUAGAGAUUCACAGGACCUAGUCGACAAGCAAUAUUACUUUUCAUGACCAUUUAUCCUUAUUAUUUGAUAAGUUUCAUGAUCAUUUAUCCCCCUGACACGUAAGACUUGAAUGAAACCUUGGUAUAAAAGGAAGAGCAAACUUUGUAGAUACAUCUUUUAAAGUAUGCCGAGCACAGACAUAAGAGACCACCUAAGUUCAUGGCUCUCUAAAGCAACUUCAUCCAACAAAAAGAGGAUGGAUUUCCGCAUUACAAGCUCACAGCUCAUACAACUUUAUAUCCAGGACAAAUGUAAACACAAUUCCAAGCAAUCAUCCAGUUACAUCUCAAUAAAUGAAUCUAAGUGCUCUCUCUUUUUUGGUUCUUUUUUAAUAAGGUUAAGUAUUAUUGAAACAGGACCAAGAAGGUACAUAGGGAUACAAGAAACGAAACAAGACCCGACCAGACAAUCUGCUUUUCUUCUCUACUUAACAACUCCAGAAAAUCCAUGUACAUCCUGAUCAAAUCAUUGGAAUGACAAAAAGAAUGCGGAUUUCCUAUGGUUAACAAUUUCAAUCAAGACAAAGACAGGAUUCAUCACUAGCCUCCAGUCCACUACAGUUGUUACCAGCUGCAAUUAUUCUUUGUACUACUAGUUUAAAAUCCAACAGUCAUUGGUAUUACUACUGUCGUUAUUCCUUCACAACUCUGCUAUGACUACUACAAUCGUCAACAUUUGAAAUCAAAAGUUAUUGCAUUGUAACAGCAAUUAAUGCAUUUGAUGAACAUCAUCCAAUGGCAGAUACUCUUUUUUAAGCUUUGAUCUCCUGAAGCAUGGAGUAGCUCAUGAAAUUGUAUCAUGUAUAAAACUAUUCAAUUGAUAAGAGAAGAUCAAGUGCUCUAUCCAUUGGACCGCUGCUUUAAACGCGAGACAUUAACAAAAUGACAAACCAAAAGUUUUACAUCACGCAAGCAGUCCAUCCCUCAAAACAUUAUUCCAAAACUGUGUAAACGAAGUAAUGCAUAAUGAUAGUAAUAUACCCCCAAACCCCUUUUUAUGCUAUUUUUACAUCAAUAAUACCUACUUUACCGAUAAAAAAAGUGAACCCCAAACCCAUAUCCUUUCCUUUGUGGAUCUCAUAGCAAUCUGGUGGACUAUGCUACAGUUAAGAGGGGAGAUGCAGAGUCCUCAUGUAUGCCUUACCAAGUUAGAAUUAAAUCCCAAAGCCAUCAUACCCUGUAUAUUGGUCAAAGAUUACCCCACUCUAACUGACUUCACAAUAUCCAAGAAUCUGAUAGCUCAAUUCUGCUGGUGUGCAUGCUAAUGUAUGCUUCACAUGCCAUGUUUCACAUUUGAUGUAUUAUAUUGGACAAGAUUACCUCUGACUGACUUCAAAUUAUCCAAUAAUAUGAAUAGUUAAUUCUCCUCAUGAGUAUGCUUCACAUCUGAUGCAAUGAUCAAAAAGGAAACUAAAACCAGUGGCGCCAUGGAUAGACUGCUGUUAGACAACUCUUAAAUAUCUAUUCUCCACAAGAUAUACCAGGUCAAGAAGAUCCAUCUGCUUCUAGUAUCACCCAACAGAUAGUGGCCCGCCCCAGGAUUGCAUUAAACCCCUUUUAUCAAUUGCCCUCUCUCUCCCCUCUCACUCUCUCUCUCUGUCAUGAUUGUUGUUCAUGCCAAGGGGUUGGCAGUACAGAUUGAUGUUACUUUAAGUUUCAAAUUACACAACAAAAUGGAUAUCAUUUCUUUUAAGUAACAGAAUUUAAGAUCCAUUUAGAUGCUCAAAAAUGUAGAACACAUCGCACAUUUUCUUGAGCUAAAAAUCCCUUGGAUAAAAAAUCUAGUACUUGAAGAUUAAAAUCAAUCAGACAUCAUUAGCUGGCUGCGUAUGACCUUUUGCAUUGUCUGGUCAAAGUUGAAGAGAUAUUGAUGACACUUACUUCACAGAAAGGUGCAGAAGUAUUAUUCUCUUGGUCACUUCGAUCUUUCUCAAUCAACAUGUGGAAAAAGGUUGUAAUUAUGAAUUCCACUAGUGAAUUUAUGAAGAAAAGCACACUGAACCUUUUUCUUUUUGGUUCGGUAAACAUGCACACUGAACAUAUCAACCGGGUUUACAUUUGUCGCAAGUUCAUGCUGAAGAAUAUUAAUCAGUAUGUUGAUCAAGACGGCCCUUCCACAAACCCAUGCAUAGGAGGAGCUUUGUGCACUGGGCUGCCCUUUUUUGUGUUAAUCAAGAUGGCAAUGAGAAAAUACAGAUAUAUCAAUACAUAAUUUGUGAUUCCAGUUGUCAAUAAAUUUUCCUCCCUUAUUGUUACUUUCUUCAAGAAAUCCUUUAAGGGAAUGUAUUCUUAUUCCGUUGGUAAAUAGAACACACAUUUGACAUUCCCCCCUUUUUCAGGGAAUUCAGAGAGAAUGUAUGCUGAUGAUUAUGUAGUUCCUCAUCAACCAAUUGGGUCAUAUGCAUCCAUUACUACAAUAAUCAAUUCAUCAUGUUUUCCAUCUUCACAAAAGCAGUACAAUGAUUAUCCAGCUUCAUGAUUCAGAAAUCUACCAUACUAAUAUAGAACAAAACUUUCUGGUCUAAGUGACCACUCAAUCUAAGAAGCAACUCAUAGCCUUCCACAAGAGAACACUCUUCAUCUACACCUCUUUUCUGACGUAAAUUUCUGCAACUCAACUUAAUGAAAUUAUUUGCCCACUGGCAGCUUUCACAGUCUUCCCUAACUAUUCCAAAAUAAUACCCAGAUUAAAGUUUCCAUGAUCUCAGCAGAGGAAGGGUUUGAAAGAAUAACCUAAUCCACACAGCAAAAGAUGCAUGACACAGCUGACAUUUAUUCUGGAAUCCAUGGCCCAUGAGAAACUCAAGAGGUGACGGUCAAAUUAAGGUUUCCAUUAUCUCGCGAAGAUGCGGUCCAGAAUGGACAUCCCAAUCUUUACAGCAAAGCAAGGAUGGCAUAAUUAAUUUCUGCAAUCCAUUGCAGAUGAUAAAGCUGAAAUUUUUUACAAUCAACUAAAUCUAAAAUCUCAAUUGACGUGCCUCCAUCUUAUAACCUUGCAUCGACAUAAACUAAACUAAUUGGUCCAGAGAAGUUUCUUUAACCCAUGAAAAGCAAAGUACAAGAGUUCAAAACUCACCGUUACUUUAAGCAUAUUAUGCUCAAGAUAUCUUUUUUUUGCUGAAGGGGCUUGAGCUGUCCUUCAUCAGAAACCAUGAAAUGAAACAAGUAGACCAAGCAGAACUUCAGUUCACUCUAUUGGUUUCAAAAAGGGAUAUCUGAGGCUUUACAAACGCUAACAAACCAUCAAACACAGUGGAAAUGCCUUUCUCAAUAAAAAACCAUCAGGCUUCACAUAGGAUUUUACCCUUUCACUAACUUUUAUCUAUGUUCUGCACAUUGGUACCCAAAACGUCUGCAGUCAUCGAAAUGCUAUCUUUCUCUGACAUACACUAAUUGACUCUUAUGUCCAUCAUAUUAGUCAGAAGGAGAUUCACUCAACCCAGUAAACAUGAUAAGAGGCUAAUAUGAAACUUUUCAUGCUUUUCCACAUUUGAGCUACACGAUUGGAUAACAUCUUCUUGAAACCAAAAUUAGUGGUUAGCCAUAUGAAGAAAAUAUGUAAUAUUAAAAUAAUGUUAUACUGAUGGAUACUCUGGUUCUUUACAAAAAUAUGCAUAGGACUAGAAUGAAUUAUCAAUUGUGUCACUGAUUACAAUACAAUCAUAGGAUUGUCAAAUCAGUAAUAAGAAUAUUGAAGACAAAAGCUCAAAGAAACAAAGAUAAUCGUACCUUUGAUUUCUUUAACCUGGAUUUGUUAUCAGCACACCAGGCUAAAGCAGGAGUUACCUCCUUGUUUUGGAGAGCAUCAAUGACCUUUUUUGCUUCAUGAAAGACAUCAAUGUCAACAAGAUCCUAGAAUAGAAAAGAUCAAACUUAAUCACAAUGGGUCAAUGAUUUUGCAGCUAAAGAAAUUCACAAGCUCAAUCGACUCUACAGAAAGAAGCAUCAAUGCUGGGUAGAUCACAUAGUUACUGCAUUAUUCAAGUCAACACAUUCAACAGUUAGAGUAGGCCAAGUGAGAAAACCAGUUCAGGCAUUGCAUCACCUAAAAGCAUUAUUAAAAUUUAACUACACGGCUUGAGCCUUUAGAUACUGUAUGGAUUAGGUUUAAAAUGUCACAAUGAGGUCACAGUGGAGUUCUCAACGAUAGAAAUAUUGCUUCACUGAUGAAGACAUGAAGUUAACAAAGAUAGGAGAAAUUGCUAUCAAAAUGAUAGUUGACUUCUCAUCAAAAGUUCAAUGAUAUUCCAAAAUGGAAUAUUUGUUGACUACAUACGACAAAACCCCAAAAUACUCCUAAAAAUAUUAUGGCAGCACGAAUUAACAACUCUUUGAGUAAAAAGUUUGGAAAUAGUGGCUUCUAGUUUAGAACACACAUUUUUAUAAUAAUGAGGAGAUGAUCAAUACUAAGGAUAAGAAAACAAGAAGGUGUUGAGAGGUAGCGAAUUGACACAGUAGACACAACAAAGCAGGACUAGUGGAUUAAUUUUGGUAAAGACAAAGCAGGAGUAGAGAAUUAUAGGCCGCAAGGAUGAAUAUACCGAGAACAGACAUUAUAGUGCAUGUCAAUCAUGCUCACUUAAAAUCCUUGUACACCCUACAGGCAAACAGAUGAUAGUUUGGCACCACAAACAUAUUAUACAAGUGCCGUGAACCAUUUGAGAAAGGAGUUGGCACCAUUGCGAUUUAACCAAACUUGCUACAUGGUAGCUUCUAUAGGCAGAAGAACCAGAAAGCAAAACCACUUAACUAUAGUUAUAUGCUAGAUCCGAGAAAGUUCUCAAAUAAGGGGAUCUUGUGCGACUCAUAAACUGGAACAACAUGACCCUUUAACCAUAACAAAUGAUACCACAUAAUAAAAGGUAAACAAAUAAAGAAAACCCACCUGGAUGUUGCUGCUUUCAGCAAGCUUUACAGCAGUGUUAUAAUAUGACAUCCGCAGCAUGUAAUCCACUAGUAUCCGGUUCAAACGGGUGUUAUGCCAGCCUGAUAAAUUUUCUGGAUCAGCAGAUUCUAGAUGAUCUAGCCGUGCUCUGCAUCUUUGCGCUUGCAGGUUCUCUGUUUGACUCCCCUCUUCCGACUAAUUGUUCUCACAAUACAAAACCAUAUGAGACAUCAUUUUUAACUGAUUAAAAGGAUUACUGAAGCUUCCAAAAAGCUUCGUGUUGGGCUGUUUUAGCUUUUCAAACAUAUUAGUCACUAACCAACUAACUAAAUGAGUAAAUGGGAUACAUUUUAGGAUCCAACAUUCAACAAAAAACAGAGAAAUCAAACACACAUACACACCAAUAGAAGUUUCGUUUACUUUAUCCAAUCUUAUACAGUAAAUGAUUCUUCCCACAAUAUAAAACCACCUUUACCUAAUUUGAACUGGUCAAAAAUCAAUCUGAAGAAUUUCAAAGGUACCUGUUGGAAUGUAAUCAACUUUACAACAGACUAAUCACUUCAUCCUCUCUCUCUCUCUCUGACACACACACAAAAUAUAGAGAGAGAAGUUUUGAUUUUGUCAUCCAAUAUCCAAUCUUAUACAGUCAAAGUAUGAUACACAGUUACAGACACACGUGUUUGGGUAGAAGUUUGCUUCCUUCAUCCAAUCCUAUGCUCCAAUCAAAUCUGAUGCAUACACAACAAAUAGGGGAAAUUUCGCUACCCUUAACAAAACUUACAUAGUAAUCGAACAGAAUAACAUACCUAAUUAUAGAAGUCUAGCUUCCAUUAAUCAAAACUUAUACAGUAAACAAACAGAAUAGUGUAAUUGAGCUACUCUAAGUACCUUCCUUUUGAGGCCCUGCAAUCUGGAUACAAGUGAAUUAAGGUGAUGUACAGCAUCAUCACGGGACAUGUCAGAUUCAGCAGCAUCUGAAACUCCAUUAAUAACAGCGGAGAGUUCCUUCUCAACAAUACGAUGAUUAGCGCGGAUCGCUUUCUUGAAAUGCUCGAAGGGAACACGAAGGAACUGGUGCUCCAAUUUGAGCGAUUCGGACAGCUGGUUCAGUUUUGACGAAGGUGCGUUAGGUGAGAUGGCAGCCGCCACCGCNNNNNNNNNNNNNNNNNNNNNNNNNNNNNNNNNNNNNNNNNNNNNNNNNNNNNNNNNNNNNNNNNNNNNNNNNNNNNNNNNNNNNNNNNNNNNNNNNNNNNNNNNNNNNNNNNNNNNNNNNNNNNNNNNNNNNNNNNNNNNNNNNNNNNNNNNNNNNNNNNNNNNNNNNNNNNNNNNNNNNNNNNNNNNNNNNNNNNNNNNNNNNNNNNNNNNNNNNNNNNNNNNNNNNNNNNNNNNNNNNNNNNNNNNNNNNNNNNNNNNNNNNNNNNUGGUGGUGGUGGAUGACGGCGAACUGCCGUUGGGAACCGUUUCCAUCUCCAUUAAUGGAAGAAAUCAAGCUAGAUCGAAGACGCUAGAAGGAGAAAGAUUAUGGAAGAAGGAAAAUUUUGCUUCGUUUCCAAAUAGAUAGAACAUCGAAAGGGUACAGCACUACGGCGUCGUUUUGUUUAGGUAAAUUAUUUUAUUUUUUUCUUUUAGAGUAGGUGGGAAAUUAGGAGUGUGCAAAAAUCGAAUCGAUUGAUAAAUCGAACCGAAAAGAGUGUUAUUGGUUUAUUGUUAUUGGGUUUUGGGUUAACGGUUAUUUAAUGGUUUUAUAAAAAAAAUUAUUGGGUUAUCUGUUCGAUAUUGAUUUUUAAUAUUGGGUUAUUGGGUUAACCGAUAACCCAUUAAGAAUAUAAUAAUUUACUAUUUUAAUUUUUAGUCAUACAUAAAUAUCAAACAAAAAAUAUUAAUAUAAUCAUUAUAUUAGACUUUACUAUAAGAACCCUACACAAUUAACAUUACUUAAUUAACUCUGCUUUCUGCAUUUAUCUUUUAGGUUUUAAUAUUACUUUAGUCUUUUAGGCAAUGACUAGGGUUGUGAAUUAUGAGUAUUUGCUAUACUUUUACUACAUUAAGCAAAAUUUUUGCACUCAAUGAGUAAUUAUAUUUCUCUCUUUUUUAUUUCACGUUAAAUUAUUAGACAAGUCAUAUAUUUGUUUUGAGAUCAUUUUCUUAUUGGUUAAACCGAAAACCGAAUCGUUAAAGACCAAAACCGAUAACAAAUAUCUUAUUUGUUUGGUUAUCGGCUUAGCAUAUUUAUAAACCUAAAACCGAUAAACCGAAUCGAUAAUACUUAAAACCGAACCGAACCGAUCGAUACACACGCCUAUGGGAAAUAGCAUAUCGAUACCUCUUAAAUUUGUUGAUGUAUUUCAUUCUGAUACUUGAAUUAUUACAUAUUUUAAUCGAGCAUCUGAAAGCAUGAUAAUGUGAUACAAUAAUCUUAUUCGUUAGACAUUUUCAGCUCAAUUUUAUAUAAAAGAAACUUUUGUUUGUAUUUUUAAACAAAUAAAUUAAGGAAAACAACAUGUUUAUUCCUUGAGUUAUUGUUAUAUUCCUAGUUUAAUACUUUUGAUCAUGUGACUUUUCAUCUUUAAUUGAAAAGAGAUUUAAAUCUCAUAUCUAAAAGGUAUAUGUAGAAUGAGUUGCAUGGGCUUCUAAUUGAAAGCAUACUUUAAGAUUACAAUUUACAGGGGUAUAAUACAUAAACAUGACCCUUAACUUGGCUUCAAUAGACAACUAUGCCCUCCAUCUUUGAGUAUGCACAAGUAGACACUUAAACUUAUAUAAAAUUGAACAAGUAGACACACGUAUCCUACAUGGCAUAAUACAUGUAGGACGCCACAUAGGACACAAAAUUUCAUGUAAGGUGUCAUGUAGGACGAAUGUGUCUAUUUGUUCAAUUUUAUACAAGUUUAAGUGCCUACUUGUGCACACCCAAAGUUAAAAGUCAUAGUUGUCAGCUGGUGCCAAGUUAAGAAUCAUGUUUAUGUAUUAUGCCAUUUACAAGUAUGCUUCUUAACUGUCAACUUUCAUGUAUGCAACUGAUAUGCUGUACAAAUCAAAAACUCCUUCCAAAGUUCACAUCAUUAUGAAUUUUCUGCUUGCAAACUUGGUGGUUCCCAUAUAUACAAUUGUCCCCUAAACAUGAAGUCAUGGGCACUGAGAAGCUCCCAGAGCAAGUUUCUUGCUUGGGAGUUGAUCACUGCCCACGAUCUACGGUGAUGGACAGUCCGAUGAAAACAGAUACUCAUGAAAUGUAUGCCUUAAUCAGCUCGGUGUAGUUGCAGGUGAGGCCUGUACUAGGACAUGUAAUUCUGCCAUCAUUCUUCACCAUUUCUUC